RNAcentral lists this ribosomal RNA (1235 nucleotides) under Staphylococcus carnosus. RNAcentral's name for it is "bacterial SSU rRNA". It matches the Rfam family "Bacterial small subunit ribosomal RNA", at positions 236 to 1461 of the family's 1533-position model. Lineage: Bacteria; Bacillati; Bacillota; Bacilli; Caryophanales; Staphylococcaceae. The record is from RNAcentral.
CCGUAUUAGCUAGUUGGUAAGGUAAUGGCUUACCAAGGCAACGAUACGUAGCCGACCUGAGAGGGUGAUCGGCCACACUGGAACUGAGACACGGUCCAGACUCCUACGGGAGGCAGCAGUAGGGAAUCUUCCGCAAUGGGCGAAAGCCUGACGGAGCAACGCCGCGUGAGUGAUGAAGGUCUUCGGAUCGUAAAACUCUGUUAUUAGGGAAGAACAAGUGCGUAGGUAACUAUGCGCACCUUGACGGUACCUAAUCAGAAAGCCACGGCUAACUACGUGCCAGCAGCCGCGGUAAUACGUAGGUGGCAAGCGUUAUCCGGAAUUAUUGGGCGUAAAGCGCGCGUAGGCGGUUUUUUAAGUCUGAUGUGAAAGCCCACGGCUCAACCGUGGAGGGUCAUUGGAAACUGGAAAACUUGAGUGCAGAAGAGGAAAGUGGAAUUCCAUGUGUAGCGGUGAAAUGCGCAGAGAUAUGGAGGAACACCAGUGGCGAAGGCGACUUUCUGGUCUGCAACUGACGCUGAUGUGCGAAAGCGUGGGGAUCAAACAGGAUUAGAUACCCUGGUAGUCCACGCCGUAAACGAUGAGUGCUAAGUGUUAGGGGGUUUCCGCCCCUUAGUGCUGCAGCUAACGCAUUAAGCACUCCGCCUGGGGAGUACGGCCGCAAGGCUGAAACUCAAAGGAAUUGACGGGGACCCGCACAAGCGGUGGAGCAUGUGGUUUAAUUCGAAGCAACGCGAAGAACCUUACCAAAUCUUGACAUCCUUUGACCGCUCUAGAGAUAGAGUCUUCCCCUUCGGGGGACAAAGUGACAGGUGGUGCAUGGUUGUCGUCAGCUCGUGUCGUGAGAUGUUGGGUUAAGUCCCGCAACGAGCGCAACCCUUAAGCUUAGUUGCCAGCAUUAAGUUGGGCACUCUAAGUUGACUGCCGGUGACAAACCGGAGGAAGGUGGGGAUGACGUCAAAUCAUCAUGCCCCUUAUGAUUUGGGCUACACACGUGCUACAAUGGACAGUACAAAGGGCAGCGAAACCGCGAGGUCAAGCAAAUCCCAUAAAGCUGUUCUCAGUUCGGAUUGUAGUCUGCAACUCGACUACAUGAAGCUGGAAUCGCUAGUAAUCGUAGAUCAGCAUGCUACGGUGAAUACGUUCCCGGGUCUUGUACACACCGCCCGUCACACCACGAGAGUUCGUAACACCCGAAGCCGGUGGAGUAACCUUUUAGGAGCUAGCCGUCGAAG